RNAcentral lists this ribosomal RNA (459 nucleotides) under uncultured bacterium. RNAcentral's name for it is "partial 16S ribosomal RNA". It matches the Rfam family "Bacterial small subunit ribosomal RNA", at positions 28 to 523 of the family's 1533-position model. The record is from RNAcentral.
GAUGAACGCUGGCGGCGUGCCUAAAACAUGCAAGUCGAGCGGUAAGGCCUCUUCGGAGGUACACGAGCGGCGGACGGGUGAGUAACACGUGGGAAUCUACCCCAAACUGAGGGAUAAGCACCGGAAACGGUGUCUAAUACCGCAUAUGGUCUUCGGAUUAAAGCUUCGGCGGUUUGGGAAGAGCCCGCGUAAGAUUAGCUAGUUGGUGAGGUAAAGGCUUACCAAGGCGACAAUCUUUAGCUGGUUUGAGAGGAUGAUCAGCCACACUGGAACUGAGACACGGUCCAGACUCCUACGGGAGGCAGCAGUUAGGAAUUUUCCACAAUGGGCGCAAGCCUGAUGGAGCAACGCCGCGUGCGGGAUGAAGGUUUUCGGAUUGUAAACUGCUUUUAUGUGCGAAGAAUAUGACGGUAACACAUGAAUAAGGAUCGGCUAACUCCGUGCCAGCCGCCGCCGUAA